RNAcentral lists this ribosomal RNA (368 nucleotides) under uncultured organism. RNAcentral's name for it is "bacterial SSU rRNA". It matches the Rfam family "Bacterial small subunit ribosomal RNA", at positions 526 to 896 of the family's 1533-position model. The record is from RNAcentral.
CGGAGGGUGCAAGCGUUGUCCGGAUUUAUUGGGUUUAAAGGGUGCGUAGGCGGCCUUAUAAGUCAGUGGUGAAAGCCCAUCGCUCAACGAUGGAACUGCCAUUGAUACUGUAAGGCUUGAGUACAGACGAGGUAGGCGGAAUUGAUGGUGUAGCGGUGAAAUGCAUAGAUACCAUCAAGAACACCGAUUGCGUAGGCAGCUUACUAGGCUGUAACUGACGCUGAGGCACGAAAGCGUGGGGAGCGAACAGGAUUAGAUACCCUGGUAGUCCACGCUGUAAACGAUGAUUACUCGAUGUUGGCGAUAAACAGUCAGCGUCUUAGCGAAAGCGUUAAGUAAUCCACCUGGGGAGUACGCCCGCAAGGGUG